RNAcentral lists this small RNA (1940 nucleotides) under Theobroma cacao (cacao). Its description in RNAcentral is "sRNA Tc08v2_g013160". The record is from RNAcentral. Lineage: Eukaryota; Viridiplantae; Streptophyta; Magnoliopsida; Malvales; Malvaceae.
UCUUUCCCGCCCUAGCCUCAUCACCUGCCCCUUUCCGCCCCUUGCCCUGCCUUGCCCCUUGCCGCCUCUUGGUGAUCCUUGUGCCUCGCUGACAGCCCCGCUGAUCCUCUGCUUGCAAAGGUGAGUGAGUGAACACAACACAUUUUUCUUUUCUGCAUUUUCGUUACGGCAGAGGAUUAGCCUACUGCAAUGGUUACAGCCAAGGAGGCUUGUGAGGUGCUCAAGAGUUCUUCUUCCAUGACUCUUGGGGCAGUACUGGGGCAUAUUGGUGAUGUUUUGCCUGGACAUCAGUUUGCUUCCAUGAGUUUUAAUUUAGUUUUAUUUUUUUAGCUGUUUAGGAGUUUUGAGUUCCCUUCUGCCUGUUUUUUUUGGUAGUCCCCUCUUUGGCUUUGGUGUUGGUUGUUUGGAUUUUAACUGCUUAAUUGUUUUACUUGGUUGAUAAAAUAUUAAUUUCAUUUUGUUAGUGAGAAAGUGUUUGUGAAUGAUAGUACAAAUUUAAGGCUUAAGCAAGUUCCGAACUUCCUAGUGACUGUAAUUAAAAAAAAAUAGUAGUUGACUGACUUAAUUUGAUCCUUCCUAGUCGACAGUGGAACUUUUUUGAAACUGUGCUCCUUUGUUGCUUAUUUAGAUCAUAUUAAGCUUUAAUGACUUUGAUGAAUUUAAAGCUGGCAUUUGGGUUCUAGAUCAUAUUAAGCUUUAAGGACUUUCAACUGAGCCAGCAUAUUGUAAUAGUAAUGACUCGUUGUACGUUCAUAAAACAUUCUUAUGAAUGAUCUAGAUAAAUUCUUAUUAAAACUAGAACUGUAGAAGCGUUUUAUAUCAGAAUUGGUCUCAAUACACAUGUGGAUGACUUUCUUUUGAACGUUAGGACUAGUGUUGUGCUGUGAAAAUGGUGGAAUAAUUUUUUUCAAAAAAGUUAGACAUUGCAUCUAAAAAUCUGAAAUAAGUAAAUACAUGUGUGUGCAGUCGCUUUUCGUUUUUUGGUCAAAAUAGAUGUCUAUAGUCAAUUCCACCUUUCAGCUCUGAUAAUGAGAGGGUUAUUCUCCUUUUAGACUGUUCUUCCAAUAGAAAUUUACCGAAAGAAUAAGUUUGCUCCAUUUGGAAAAUAAAAGUAUACAUGGUAUGAUUAUAUGAAAGUUACCAUGCUCAAUCUGAUUACCAAAACUGGCUUUCCGUCUUCAAAAAAAUAAAACCAAAGUGAUCUUGACUCAUUUGCUGCGUUUAACUAAGCUAGGAGUUGAUUUUAUGGACAUUGAAAUGAGAGUGCAGAUGGAAAUAAUUAAAUAAAAAAAAAAACCUAUUGAUUCUUCCAAUACAUGAUCCACAUCCAGGAUCAUACCAAACCCCUUAAAUCAAACCAUCUGUUCAUGUAGAUGAGCUUUUGUUUUCCAUUUUUGGUUGAAGAAGCAUAUGUCCAUCCAGUGCUUAUUAUGUAGAGGCAUCCUAUUUACGAUAGCAGAAACUAAAGAACAACAAGAUACUUCACUUACACUCUCUUGCCAGGGAACAUCAUUCAGUGACUUUAAAGUUUCACACUCCACCUGUGUACUUCUAGCACAACUUGGAAAAAGAGAGAUAAAAAAGGUGCAUGUUACCUUUGAAUACUGUUCACUCACUUCUUAAGGUCAAUAUAGAACUUUCUCACACUGUCUACUUAUCCGAAAAACAAAACUGGUGAUGGCUUCCAUAAUUUGAAGGAGAUUAAAACUGUGGAACUUGUCAAGCCUACUGGUUGGGUUCAUCUUUCAUUAUCCGCAAAUGAUCCUUGGUGAGUGGCCAAACAAUUGUUUCGAUGUCAAGCCUAUUGCUUUCUGAAGUAUUUGGAAUUUUGUAGUGAUCAUGUUUCUUUUGUUGGCUGUUGGUGCAAUAUUGUUAAUUUGAUCACUAACUGUUUGCUCUUUAUUAGCAGAUUAAGAGACUAAUUCAUUUCUUUUCAAAAA